CUCUCUCACACACACACACACAUAUUAAGAUCAGAGGGAUUUAUCAUACACCAAAUGCCGCCGGCGACGGAGGAACCUAACAAGACGGCGUCCUCGACAAGAUUUAUGAGUUCUCGGCCUCGCACAUCUUCGAUUUCAUCAAGGACGAGACCGAUGAUGACAAGAUCAAGGCCGAGCUAUGGUUUGACUCCGCCACAGCCUACGCCCCUUCCCCCUUCAUGCCUAGAAUCAAGAUUGGUGGCAUCAGUUUUAUUGGGUUUUCAAUCUUAUUAAUUUCAAGAAUCGAAGUGAUAUGGGUUUUACCACGAUCUCAUCUUGAUUGAAGGUGGUAGUGGACCCAAUUCUCUAUGCUCAACGAUAUGAGUAGAUUGAAGGUGGUAGUGGCCUUCAAAUCUGGGUUCUUAUAUAAUAUAUUAGACUAUAAAUGGGUUCUAAAGGUGCUAAUAUUGAAUGUGGAUUUUAAUAUUUUUAAAAGAUUAUGGGACUUUCUAGUUCCUAUGCCUCUUUCCUAAUCAAAUAGAUUAUUUAGUUUCUGCUGAGUUGUUCAAGUUGUUGUCUCGAGUAAACCAUUCAGGCAGAGUACUUGACUUAUUAUUCAGUCAUGGAAUUUGGCUAGUUUGUAGUUAUACCCUCCUUCAUUAAAUUGCCAGUCUAAAAGUUCAGAUCAUUGGUUUGUAAGCAAAACAGAUAGAAUGUUCAUUCCUUGUGAUUGAUUUCGAUGCUUCACUAUCUAGUCCAUCUCAAUUUCUUUUGUUGGUUGAAACAUAUAUGUUAAGGUCCUUUGUUGAUUUUCAGUAGCUUAGGUUAUUUUGAAGGAUGAAACAGCCUAGGCUGGUUCUUGAUUGCUUUUGAAGAAUAUGGUAAUUUCAGAGAACACCAAGAUACCAAUGAUGAUCAAGAUUACCAAUGUGGGUCUUUACCUUCUCAGUUUCCAUUAUUAUAUGUAGGAUAAUCUCCAGUUUGUUUUUUUUUUCUCCAUAGAGAUUGAUAAGUGCUGCAUAUGCUAAUAUACUUGG
Rosa chinensis is the source of this 1016-nucleotide long non-coding RNA. RefSeq lists it as uncharacterized. NCBI's taxonomy places the organism in Eukaryota, Viridiplantae, Streptophyta, Magnoliopsida, Rosales, Rosaceae. The record is from RefSeq and is a predicted model, not a curated record. The transcript has 4 exons.